ACGGGUGAGUAACGCGUGGGUAACCUGCCUCAUACAGGGGGAUAACAGCCGGAAACGGCUGCUAAAACCGCAUAAUAUAUGGAAGCCGCAUGGAUUUCAUAUUAAAUAUUGAUAGGUAUGAGAUGGGCCCGCGUCUGAUUAGCUAGUUGGGGGGGUAACGGCCCACCAAGGCGACGAUCAGUAGCCGGCUUGAGAGAGUGACCGGCCACAUUGGGACUGAGACACGGCCCAAACUCCUACGGGAGGCAGCAGUGGGGAAUAUUGCACAAUGGGGGAAACCCUGAUGCAGCGACGCCGCGUGAGUGAAGAAGUAUUUCGGUAUGUAAAGCUCUAUCAGCAGGGAAGAAAAUGACGGUACCUGACUAAGAAGCCCCGGCUAACUACGUGCCAGCAGCCGCGGUAAUACGUAGGGGGCAAGCGUUAUCCGGAUUUACUGGGUGUAAAGGGAGCGUAGGUGGUUUGAUAAGUCAGAUGUGAAAGCCCGGGGCUCAACCGCGGGACUGCAUCUGAUACUAUCAGGCUUGAGUGCAGGAGAGGUAAGUGGAAUUCCUAGU
RNAcentral lists this ribosomal RNA (554 nucleotides) under uncultured bacterium. Its description in RNAcentral is "bacterial SSU rRNA". It matches the Rfam family "Bacterial small subunit ribosomal RNA", at positions 102 to 674 of the family's 1533-position model. The record is from RNAcentral.